RNAcentral lists this ribosomal RNA (963 nucleotides) under Triticum aestivum (bread wheat). RNAcentral's name for it is "partial small subunit ribosomal RNA". Lineage: Eukaryota; Viridiplantae; Streptophyta; Magnoliopsida; Poales; Poaceae. The record is from RNAcentral.
UACGUUAAGAGUAUAUAAGUACUGUAAAGGUAAAAUGUCUAAUUUUUUUUCGUUCAACACCACUCAUGUUUUGGAGGUCUUCUUAGCCAGUUCUAAAGAGAGUUCCUGACAAAUCGAACGUCACCAACGUAUUGUAGUCGUCUCUGUCAAUACGAACUCUUCGUUUCGAACCUACUGAAACAAUGAGCGUAGUUGAGACCGUUUUGGCAGUAGCAUAGAUACAGAGGGGUCAGUUCUCGUAGUAAUCGACGUAAGAAACCAGAAAGAGUCAGUGUCCAAAAGUUUUUUGAUUGACGAGACAAGUUCAGCUACCCGCACUUCCGUCACAUACUGUGUUCAUCAUCAGCUCUAGACCGGGAUUAACUUCGUACGUUACUUAAAUAAAGUGCGAUAUUCGACUCAGUUAACAGAUCGCUGUUUCUUCAACCUUGUUCAGAAGGACACGAAAGUAGACGUACAGGUCCAACCUAUACGAUACGACUUUUCUGAGAACCAAGUAUAUAGAACGGGAUGUAGAGUAGACAUUUCUCAGGGGUUGUUCACUAACCACGUCGAUAGUUCGUAGUGUACCAACUUUUUGAACCAGAGUUCGGCAUACUACACAUAGUACAAUGACACUACGGGACAAUACUAUUUUUUGAACUUCGACAGGCCCCGCUGAAACAAAAGAGUCACCUUCUUUUCCUUCAAUGUCUCCACCUGAGCCAUAACUGUUGACCACUUCACAACCUGAACUAUGUCAGGUUUAGACAACUAAAGUUCUGUUACCUCCUUAGAGGAAACCUGUCUAAUAAUUGUUUACAACUACUACCACCAGUAGAUAUACCCCAAAGACCACCGAGCCCACCAAUACGCCUUUGGUAGAAAGAAAUACGUCGUGCACGUGAGAAAUUAUCCCUUUAUCUUCCGGGUGAACUAAAGUUUUAGAACGCUUUAAGUCUAAAGACACUUCAAUGUGACCUC